Molecule: RNA transcript, 2317 nt
Organism: Hyla sarda
Lineage: Eukaryota; Metazoa; Chordata; Amphibia; Anura; Hylidae
Gene: TMEM200B
Gene name: transmembrane protein 200B
Exons: 4
Source: RefSeq, a predicted model, not a curated record
UGACGGGUCUGGAUGAUGACAGGGGGGGAUGAGGUAUUUCCCACCCUAGGCUUAUACUCGAGUCAAUAACUUUUCCUGGGAUUUUGGGUUGAAAUUAGGGGUCUCGGCUUAUACUCGGGUCGGCUUAUACUCGAGUAUAUACGGUAUUUCAAAAACAGCUCAGCGUCUGUCCCCAGGUUGGGUGUGGUAUUACAACUUGGCUCCAAUCACUUUAAUGGAACUGAGCUAAAGAGCCGCAACCACACCUGGAGACACAGGGAGCGGUUUUUGAAUAACCCCCUUUAAUAUAUUAUCAGAAAUGUAUGUAAAAAAAAAAGAGAAGUUUUAAGGGCCCAUGCACACUACAGAAUAUCUGCAAUGAAUCGUUGCAAUAACUGCGCCGCCUACUUUCACAGCAAUGCAGUUCCACGCAGUAUUCUGCCGAAAGGAUGAACAUGAUCAUUCCUUCUACGGCUUCCAGAAGUGCCACAAAAUCCCAGUGAAGACAAUGAAAGGCUGCUACACCUGAAUCUCUGUCCAAAUUUUUCCAGAAACUCUGAUUCUUAACCCAAACCUUCAGUCCUGGGACAGUUGCUACAAGAGAUCGGAAACAAAAUAAAAAGAAAUAAAAGAAAGCAAUGUCUUUGUUCUGCCUGGAUAUGAAUACUCCACAUGGGAAAGAAGUAACAAUAUAUAGAAUUUCAAAAUAAAUCUUUGUAUAGUACUUUACAAGAGAACCAGCUGCUGGCACACAAUCUGGACUAGAUUCAUGUAUCACACACUAAGGGCGGCUUGGAGCCUGCCGAAUAGGAUUGAAGCGGACGAAGGAUCUACAUUAGAGAUUGUGAGACACAUUCGUUUGAAGAGUGUGAGUGGUUUGUAAAAAAAACACUCACCAAGUCUCUCUUUAGUCAUGAAGCGUCUAAGAACUCCCCAUCUGCAUAUGCAUUUCUUCCCCUGUUUUUUGAGUCUGUUUAGAAGAUGUCGAUCUUCUCCUGAACCACCUGAUGCACCUCCUAAAGGGAAGCUACGUCUUCGCUCACUUCCUGGAGUUUUUGUAUUUGUAGGUAUAUUUCUAGUACUAAUAGGCCUAACCGUGGCCGUUAUUGGCUACUGGCCUCACAAAUCCAACAGCCAAUCAGUAGAAAAACUAAAGCUGAUUGGUCCCGUCAUAAUGGGAUUUGGACUAUUUGUCUUCAUAUGUGCUAACACACUUCUGUAUGAAAACCGGGAUAUGGAAACAAGAAGGCUCCUCCAAAUCAGCGCAGUCACCCAGGGACAUGCUGACAUGGCUUUAUCUGCUAAUAGUGGGGUAAAAGUUCAAACCCAGAAUACAUGGAGUGACAGUUCUGGAGAACUGGACAACAGGAGAAAUAUAUUAAUCAGGGCACAGCUUUUGUGUCCACCCAUUAAUGACCUCUCUCUUUCUCUUGUAAGCAUACACUCUGAUCCUUGUAUUUCAUCCUUACCAACAAUGGGGGAGAGAGUCAAACUCAAAGAAGCAGCAGAGAGGUGCUACAGCUCUGAUGUCAAGUUAAAUAUGAGUAUGAGACCAGUAAAAGAAGGCAUCUUGGAGGUUCCUCAUAGAGGUCAAAAGUGUCGUAGUUGGCCAAGACUGGAAAUUGUUGAUGAUGGUUGUGCAAAAUUACAUGAAGCCUCAGGGGAAGUGUUAAAGGAGAGCAGGGAGAGUAGCCAGGAGACUGUACCUGAAGUGGCAUAAAAUGUCACAAUACAGGAAGUGAUGAAGACCCUGGACUAUAUCCCUUUACAUCUUAUAUGAGCUACCCCUGUUUAUCAUGGCAAAAGUUAACCACUGAAUGAAACAAUUGAAUGGGCAUGCAAAAUGUUCAUGGGUACAUGCAGGCAGGGCAGUUGUAACACAUUGUUGAGCCCAGUGCAAAGUUUUUAUUAGUGCUGCAAAAUUCUGAGCUUUUCUAUGAGGCAAUUUUAGACACAUUAGAGUCCUAUUACUAGUAGUGUUUCCUAUUGUGCUUAAACCCAAUAAAACACAAACUAUUUCAACAGACACGUUUUCCAAUACAUUUUCCAAAUGUGUUUUAUGUGUCUUGAUCAAUGAUAAUGAUUUAUAUUGUUGAAUAACACGUGUUUUUGAUUGCAAACGCUACAUGUAAUAGUGCCCUCAUUUGGAAAGGUUUGAACUCACAGAUGUUGUUUUCUUUUCUUUCCCACCUGGCCCAGACCACCAGGAUUUUUCAAGCCAUGACUUGUUUUUUUCAGAAUUGCCAAACAAACAUCUUAAACUACUCACUUUUACAACAGCUUCCCCACCUCUAUACAAACUCCCCAUCUAUAGGGGCCCAAAUAGUAAUAAUUCCCC